Molecule: unclassified non-coding RNA, 272 nt
Filed under: Hevea brasiliensis (rubber tree)
Lineage: Eukaryota; Viridiplantae; Streptophyta; Magnoliopsida; Malpighiales; Euphorbiaceae
Source: RNAcentral
ACUUCUUCCACUCGAGAUUGAAGAUUUUCAAUUUAAACUUUUGUGAAAGCAACUUGUAAAAGUUGAAAAAUAGGCUUCUGAAUCCGCUGCAUAAAUGUGGAGGUCAUGUUCAUCUCUUAUUUUCCUUGUUUUCUUUCAUUUUUUUUUUCGAGGCAGGAUUUCGUGGCCAUUUCAUGUCAUCCUGAUCUGUGGAAAAUGUAACCCAUUAAUGCAAAUUUUUAAUGUAUAAUAUUCACCACAUGUUUGACAUGUAUAUAAAAAUUUCACAAGGC